Molecule: ribosomal RNA, 241 nt
Filed under: uncultured Staphylococcus sp.
Lineage: Bacteria; Bacillati; Bacillota; Bacilli; Caryophanales; Staphylococcaceae
Description: partial 16S ribosomal RNA
Rfam family: Bacterial small subunit ribosomal RNA
Source: RNAcentral
CGGACGGGUGAGUAACACGUGGAUAACCUACCUAUAAGACUGGGAUAACUUCGGGAAACCGGAGCUAAUACCGGAUAAUAUAUUGAACCGCAUGGUUCAAUAGUGAAAGACGGUUUUGCUGUCACUUAUAUAUGGAUCCGCGCCGCAUUAGCUAGUUGGUAAGGUAACGGCUUACCAAGGCAACGAUGCGUAGCCGACCUGAGAGGGUGAUCGGCCACACUGGAACUGAGACACGGUCCAG